Molecule: ribosomal RNA, 673 nt
Filed under: uncultured bacterium
Lineage: Bacteria
Description: bacterial SSU rRNA
Rfam family: Bacterial small subunit ribosomal RNA
Source: RNAcentral
AGAGUUUGAUCCUGGCUCAGGAUGGACGCUAGCGGCAGGCUUAACACAUGCAAGUCGAGGGGUAUAAUCAGCUUGCUAAUUAGAGACCGGCGCACGGGUGCGUAACGCGUAUGCAAUCUACCUUUUACAGCGGGAUAGCCCAGAGAAAUUUGGAUUAAUACCACAUAGUAUUAUGAAAUGGCAUCAUUUUAUAAUUAAAGAUUUAUCGGUAAAAGAUGAGCAUGCGUCCCAUUAGCUAGUUGGUAUGGUAACGGCAUACCAAGGCAACGAUGGGUAGGGGUCCUGAGAGGGAGAUCCCCCACACUGGUACUGAGACACGGACCAGACUCCUACGGGAGGCAGCAGUGAGGAAUAUUGGACAAUGGGCGCAAGCCUGAUCCAGCCAUGCCGCGUGCAGGAUUAAGGUCUUAUGGAUUGUAAACUGCUUUUAUACGAGAAGAAACGCUACUUCGUGAAGUAGUUUGACGGUAUCGUAAGAAUAAGGAUCGGCUAACUCCGUGCCAGCAGCCGCGGUAAUACGGAGGAUCCAAGCGUUAUCCGGAAUCAUUGGGUUUAAAGGGUCCGUAGGCGGUUUGGUAAGUCAGUGGUGAAAUCCCAUCGCUCAACGGUGGAACUGCCAUUGAUACUGCUAGACUUGAAUUAUUAGGAAGUAACUAGAAUAUGUAGUGUAGCG